Molecule: long non-coding RNA, 891 nt
Organism: Arachis duranensis
Lineage: Eukaryota; Viridiplantae; Streptophyta; Magnoliopsida; Fabales; Fabaceae
Exons: 2
Source: RefSeq, a predicted model, not a curated record
CUCUUUCUUCUCUUUAAAGAACCGGUUCCUCCCCCUCUCUUUCUCAAAUAAAUCACAUGCUAAUUUUUGUUACUUGUUACCAUAGUUAGAUAAGAAUUAGAAACCAAGAGAUCUAGUUAGAAACUAACUAAAAUUGGCACCACAUCCCUCACUCUUCUCUCUUGAAGAAACCGGAUCCUCUCCCUCUCUCUCAAUUAGAUCACAUGGUAAAUAUGAUGAUUAGGUGGUGAUUAUGACAAAGUUAAGGAAGCUACUAGGAAGCUACAUAUUUACACAUGUAAUUAACAUUCUUCUCUCAUAACUGUAGAUUCCUCUCCCAUUUCCCAUUAAUCAUCAAAAUUUCAUAUAGUUAGAAGUAAGAAAGAAAGAUUUACAAAGAGCAUGAAAUCAAUUGCUUAACUCUCUCUUUUCCAACUGGGUUUCCUUCCCCUUCCUUCAUCAAAUUUUAUUUCUUUCCACUAAACCAAGUUAAGGAAGAGAGAAAAACCAAAUAGAAAGGAAGAGAGCUAGAGGAGGCCGAGAGUGAGAGAGAUCAAGAACCAUCAAACCAAGCUUGUUUUCUACCAUUUUCUUCAUCAAGUUUCAAGAGCAACACCUCCACUUCUCAAUAUUUCAAGAACCAACCUCAUCCUCUUCAUCUUCUUCAUUUACCUCUUGAAAUCAUCAACAGGAGCUUUAAGCAGAACCUCCAAGCUAGCCAAAAAUCAAGCUCAAUAGAGUGAGAAAUCACUCCCUUUCCUUUCUAGUUGGUUCGCCCAUGAGGCCUAUUUUUCUAUUAAUUAAUGUGGUGUUGUUAUUUAAGUGAUUUCUUAUGCUAAAGAGGAUUAAGAAGUAAAUUAAAGAAGUAAGGGUUAGGUGUAGUUAGAAAUCUCUUGGUUGUGUUUAUAUGUU